GAGUUUGAUCUUGGCUCACGAUUGAACGCUGGCGGCAGGCCUAACACAUGCAAGUCGAGCGGUAGAGAGAAGCUUGCUUCUCUUGAGAGCGGCGGACGGGUGAGUAAUGCCUAGGAAUCUGCCUGGUAGUGGGGGAUAACGCUCGGAAACGGACGCUAAUACCGCAUACGUCCUACGGGAGAAAGCAGGGGACCUUCGGGCCUUGCGCUAUCAGAUGAGCCUAGGUCGGAUUAGCUAGUUGGUGAGGUAAUGGCUCACCAAGGCGACGAUCCGUAACUGGUCUGAGAGGAUGAUCAGUCACACUGGAACUGAGACACGGUCCAGACUCCUACGGGAGGCAGCAGUGGGGAAUAUUGGACAAUGGGCGAAAGCCUGAUCCAGCCAUGCCGCGUGUGUGAAGAAGGUACUUCGGAUUGUAAAAGGCUACGUUUAAGUUGGGAGGAAGGGCAGUAAAUUAAUACUUUGCUGUUUUGACGUUACGACAGAAUAAGCACGGCUAACUCUGUGCCAGCCGCCG
RNAcentral lists this ribosomal RNA (517 nucleotides) under uncultured bacterium. RNAcentral's name for it is "bacterial SSU rRNA". It matches the Rfam family "Bacterial small subunit ribosomal RNA", at positions 9 to 517 of the family's 1533-position model. The record is from RNAcentral.